RNAcentral lists this long non-coding RNA (597 nucleotides) under Cicer arietinum (chickpea). RNAcentral describes it as "long non-coding RNA (CARI_LNC002315)". Lineage: Eukaryota; Viridiplantae; Streptophyta; Magnoliopsida; Fabales; Fabaceae. The record is from RNAcentral.
GUUUCAUCUUGUUACACUCAUCCCUAACAAAUAGGGUUUAGUUAUUCAUGAUAGAGAUAGAAAAGAUAGAUAUUAGAGAAGAAUUACAAGAAAGAUUCAUGAAUGAUUCUUGAUAAAACUGCUCCAAUAGUAUUGGAAACGGCCGUAUUUGAGUUUCUAUGCUAGGGCACAAGUCUCUCAACUUCUCUAUAGUAAAAAAGAUCUCUAGAAAGUGAGAAAAAAAAAUACAUUUUAAUGAAUGUUGAUGUGCGUCGCGCGCCCCAGGCGCAGGAUUUGCACUCUGGGCGCGCAUGUACAAUGUUACUGGUCCAGAAAUGCGCCCCAGGUGCAGCGUUGCGCUUCAGAUGCACAUCUUCUUCUGGUCGACGUUUUCUGCUUUUGUCUCCUCUUUGGAGUCCGAAUUUGACUCUGGUGUCUUCAUGAAAGUUGUAGCUAUGAAUCGUAGCUUUUAUUUUCACUUGGUUUGACAUCGCUUGGUCCCUCCACAUAGGUCAUGUUGAUUUCUCUCCAAAAUUCAGCACUGCACUAAAAUAAAGUAACACCGUAAAACUAAGAAAAAUCUCCACUUAAUCAAGGAAAUAAGAACAUAAACAUUUC